CGAACGGGAAAGGUUCCUUCGGGGACCGAGUAGAGUGGCGAACGGGUGAGUAACGCGUGGGAAGCUGUCCUGGGAAGGGGGAUAACCCGCCGAAAGGCGGGCUAAUACCGCAUACGCCCCGCAAGGGGGAAAGCCGAGAGGCGUCCGAGGAGGUGCCCGCGUCCGAUUAGCUAGUUGGUGAGGUAAGGGCUCACCAAGGCGACGAUCGGUAGCCGGUCUGAGAGGACGGACGGCCACACUGGGACUGAGACACGGCCCAGACUUCUACGGAAGGCAGCAGUGGGGAAUUUUGCGCAAUGGGGGAAACCCUGACGCAGCAACGCCGCGUGGAGGAAGAAGGCUUUCGAGUCGUAAACUCCUGUCCUUGGGGACGAAGCAAGUGACGGUACCCGAGGAGGAAGCCCCGGCUAACUCCGUGCCAGCAGCCGCGGUAAUACGGGGGGGGCAAGCGUUGUUCGGAAUUACUGGGCGUAAAGGGCGCGUAGGCGGCCUGAGAAGUUCUGGGUGAAAGCCCCCGGCUCAACCGGGGAAGGUCCUGGAAAACCAUCGGGCUGGAGUGCUGGAGAGGCCGGCGGAAUUUCGGGUGUAGCGGUGAAAUGCGUAGAUAUCCGAAGGAACAUCGGAGGCGAAGGCGGCCGGCUGGACAGACACUGACGCUGA
RNAcentral lists this ribosomal RNA (660 nucleotides) under uncultured bacterium. RNAcentral describes it as "bacterial SSU rRNA". It matches the Rfam family "Bacterial small subunit ribosomal RNA", at positions 63 to 749 of the family's 1533-position model. The record is from RNAcentral.